CGAGCCUGAUGGAGCACGCCGCGUGUGUGAUGAAGGCUUUCGGGUCGUAAAGCACUGUUGUAUGGGAAGAACAGCUAGAAUAGGAAAUGAUUUUAGUUUGACGGUACCAUACCAGAAAGGGACGGCUAAAUACGUGCCAGCAGCCGCGGUAAUACGUAUGUCCCGAGCGUUAUCCGGAUUUAUUGGGCGUAAAGCGAGCGCAGACGGUUUAUUAAGUCUGAUGUGAAAGCCCGGAGCUCAACUCCGGAAUGGCAUUGGAAACUGGUUAACUUGAGUGCAGUAGAGGUAAGUGGAACUCCAUGUGUAGCGGUGGAAUGCGUAGAUAUAUGGAAGAACACCAGUGGCGAAGGCGGCUUACUGGACUGCAACUGACGUUGAGGCUCGAAAGUGUGGGUAGCAAACAGGAUUAGAUACCCUGGUAGUCCACACCGUAAACGAUGAACACUAGGUGUUAGGAGGUUUCCGCCUCUUAGUGCCGAAGCUAACGCAUUAAGUGUUCCGCCUGGGGAGUACGACCGCAAGGUUGAAACUCAAAGGAAUUGACGGGGACCCGCACAAGCGGUGGAGCAUGUGGUUUAAUUCGAAGCAACGCGAAGAACCUUACCAGGUCUUGACAUCCUUUGAAGCUUUUAGAGAUAGAAGUGUUCUCUUCGGAGACAAAGUGACAGGUGGUGCAUGGUCGUCGUCAGCUCGUGUCGUGAGAUGUUGGGUUAAGUCCCGCAACGAGCGCAACCCUUAUUGUUAGUUGCCAGCAUUCAGAUGGGCACUCUAGCGAGACUGCCGGUGACAAACCGGAGGAAGGCGGGGACGACGUCAGAUCAUCAUGCCCCUUAUGACCUGGGCUACACACGUGCUACAAUGGCGUAUACAACGAGUUGCCAGCCCGCGAGGGUGAGCUAAUCUCUUAAAGUACGUCUCAGUUCGGAUUGUAGUCUGCAAUCGACUACAUGAAGUCGGAAUC
RNAcentral lists this ribosomal RNA (961 nucleotides) under Leuconostoc mesenteroides. RNAcentral describes it as "bacterial SSU rRNA". It matches the Rfam family "Bacterial small subunit ribosomal RNA", at positions 378 to 1333 of the family's 1533-position model. Lineage: Bacteria; Bacillati; Bacillota; Bacilli; Lactobacillales; Lactobacillaceae. The record is from RNAcentral.